Molecule: long non-coding RNA, 205 nt
Filed under: Elaeis guineensis (African oil palm)
Lineage: Eukaryota; Viridiplantae; Streptophyta; Magnoliopsida; Arecales; Arecaceae
Description: long non-coding RNA (EGUI_LNC074967)
Source: RNAcentral
UAAGGUCGGUGAAUGAGUUCUUUAGCAAGUCAUUUGGAUCUCGUAAUGCAGCUUGAGAGAUAUUUCGGAUAAGUCAAAAAUAUUUAAUUUUUAAAUUCAUAGUACAUUUGUAUUCUACUUAUUAAUAUAUAUUUCGAUUCCGUCUUGCAGGAGUACUAUCGAUUCGAGACAUCCCAAGAUAAGAAGGAUGGCCGUCAGACCUUCG